RNAcentral lists this ribosomal RNA (269 nucleotides) under uncultured prokaryote. RNAcentral describes it as "partial 16S ribosomal RNA". It matches the Rfam family "Bacterial small subunit ribosomal RNA", at positions 524 to 792 of the family's 1533-position model. The record is from RNAcentral.
UACGGAGGGCGCGAGCGUUGUUCGGAAUCAUUGGGCGUAAAGCGGGUGUAGGCGGCUUGAUAAGUUGGGUGUGAAAGCCCUGGGCCCAACCCAGGAAAUGCACUCGAAACUGUCUCGCUAGAGUCCCGGAGAGGGUGGCGGAAUUCCCGGUGUAGAGGUGAAAUUCGUAGAUAUCGGGAGGAACACCAGUGGCGAAGGCGGCCACCUGGACGGUGACUGACGCUCAGACCCGAAAGCGUGGGGAGCGAACAGGAUUAGAUACCCUCGUA